Molecule: unclassified non-coding RNA, 200 nt
Filed under: Clavulinaceae sp.
Lineage: Eukaryota; Fungi; Basidiomycota; Agaricomycetes; Cantharellales; Hydnaceae
Description: partial internal transcribed spacer 2
Source: RNAcentral
UUAAGUUCAGCGGGUAGUCCCGCCUGAUUCGAGGUCAAAGUUGAAAAGUGUUGUCGGUGAAGACGAUUAGAAGCGAUCCAAGGCACUCUCGGCCACCCUCGCUUUAUGGGCGCGGAUGUCCUCGACGGUCAUGAACUUAUCACGCCGAGUAGAACCAAGUGUACAAAACAUGGGUCAGCUAAUGCAUUUAGGACCAGCCG